This is a long non-coding RNA of Zootoca vivipara (common lizard), 793 nucleotides long. RefSeq lists it as uncharacterized. The record is from RefSeq and is a predicted model, not a curated record. NCBI's taxonomy places the organism in Eukaryota, Metazoa, Chordata, Lepidosauria, Squamata, Lacertidae.
GCAAGGUGUUUCCCUCCAAGGCAGAGCCAGAACAAACCAUUUGGCGCCUAUUGAGUGAAAUGUGGGCCGCCGGAUUUAUUAGCAGGCAAUCCAGGCUGGUUUCAAGGAAAACGCAGGUCUGGGGAGUCGGUUGAUAUUAACACUUCCAGCGAAACCUUGCAUGUUGGAAGUUUAAAAAAGAAAGCCCAUUCACUCCAGCACAUUCCGCCGCCAGACAGCAAGCUCCCCCUCGAUCAAACCUUGAGGAAAGUCUUGAAGGAGGGGGGGGGGGCAGACAGAGAACAAUGCAGGACUUUGGCUUCCGUGCAGUGAGAUUUGGCAGUCCCAAGCCAACUUGAACGGAAAGUUUUUCCCGAGGCGCAGGGACAUGAGAAGCACAUGCAAGCAGGGAGCCUUGGAAAAGGGGUAACAAGGAAGGAUGCAAAGCUUCUCAUAUGGUCAGAUUUGGCCUGGGACCUCCAGUUGAUGAUCCCUCCCUUAAAUAUUGUAUACAAGGAAUAAAGGAUUUAUGAGGAAACAUUUCUUCUGAGACACAGUGAAGGAUGACGGUGAAGUGAGGAGUCAAGUGCCCCAAGUAGAAGGGAAUUUUAAGGUGUGGCAGUGGAUGUGCUGGGCUGCUGUCUUACCUUGGUGAUGUACUGGAUGAGAGGGAACAAACUGAAGUUCAAUCCAGAUAAGAUUGAGGUACUGUUAGUGGGUGGUUCCCUACACUGGAUGGGUGGCAGGUUGCCUGCUCUUGAGGGGUUCCACUCGCUCUGAAGGAGUGGGUACAUAGCUCGAGCGUACUUCUGAA